AUACGUAGGGUGCGAGCGUUGUCCGGAAUUACUGGGCGUAAAGAGCUCGUAGGUGGUUUGUCGCGUCGUCUGUGAAAUUCCGGGGCUUAACUCCGGGCGUGCAGGCGAUACGGGCAUAACUUGAGUACUGUAGGGGAGACUGGAAUUCCUGGUGUAGCGGUGAAAUGCGCAGAUAUCAGGAGGAACACCGGUGGCGAAGGCGGGUCUCUGGGCAGUAACUGACGCUGAGGAGCGAAAGCAUGGGUAGCGAACAGGAUUAGAUCCCCGGGUAGUCCAUGCCGUAAACGGUGGGCGCUAGGUGUAGGGGUCUUCCACGACUUCUGUGCCGUAGCUAACGCAUUAAGCGCCCCGCCUGGGGAGUACGGCCGCAAGGCUAAAACUCAAAGGAAUUGACGGGG
Molecule: ribosomal RNA, 398 nt
Filed under: uncultured bacterium
Lineage: Bacteria
Description: partial 16S ribosomal RNA
Rfam family: Bacterial small subunit ribosomal RNA
Source: RNAcentral